This 202-nucleotide ribosomal RNA is filed under the name uncultured bacterium. RNAcentral describes it as "partial 16S ribosomal RNA". It matches the Rfam family "Bacterial small subunit ribosomal RNA", at positions 1299 to 1500 of the family's 1533-position model. The record is from RNAcentral.
UGUAGUCUGCAACUCGACUACAUGAAGCUGGAAUCGCUAGUAAUCGCGAAUCAGAAUGUCGCGGUGAAUACGUUCCCGGGUCUUGUACACACCGCCCGUCACACCAUGGGAGUUGGGAAUGCCCGAAGCCGGUGACCCAACCAAAAGGAGGGAGCCGUCGAAGGCAGGUCUGAUAACUGGGGUGAAGUCGUAACAAGGUAGC